GUGCCAGCCGCCGCGGUAAUACGAAGGGGGCUAGCGUUGUUCGGAAUCACUGGGCGUAAAGCGCACGUAGGCGGAUCUUUAAGUCAGGGGUGAAAUCCCGAGGCUCAACCUCGGAACUGCCUUUGAUACUGGGGAUCUCGAGUCCGGGAGAGGUGAGUGGAACUGCGAGUGUAGAGGUGAAAUUCGUAGAUAUUCGCAAGAACACCAGUGGCGAAGGCGGCUCACUGGCCCGGAACUGACGCUGAGGUGCGAAAGCGUGGGGAGCAAACAGGAUUAGAAACCCCCGUAGUCC
RNAcentral lists this ribosomal RNA (292 nucleotides) under uncultured bacterium. RNAcentral describes it as "partial 16S ribosomal RNA". It matches the Rfam family "Bacterial small subunit ribosomal RNA", at positions 505 to 796 of the family's 1533-position model. The record is from RNAcentral.